CUUUCCCUCACAUCCUAUUCCUUUUGUACUCAAUCAGUCAUACAAUCCUGUGGUUUCUAUAACCAAUAUGUCUCUCAAAUUCUGCUUUACUCCCUUACAAUUUUAUUAAUAUACAUAACCCUGAUUUUAUCACUCCAUUGCUAAAAAUCUUUUAAGGAUGCUAUUGAAGGACACACUCUUUACUAUCAUGUCUGCCUAUCUUUGUAUCUGCAUCACCCACAUCUAGCUCACAUGGAUCCUAUGUCUGUGUAGACAUACUGAACUACUUACUCUUCUCUAAAUGUGUCCUGCUGUUGCAUAUGACCUUUGUAUUUUUAUGCACAGUCCUCUUAAUCUACAAUAAUCUUUUUCUAACUGGUCUGCCUCAAUUACACAUGAUUAAACAAACCAGCUCAAAAUCUGCCCACUCUGUUACAUCAACACUGGCUCUCCCAACCUUAAUCAGGCAGUGUUCUGUCCUCUUUUUCACGGAGCCUGAAGCACACAUCAAUUAUCAAAUCAUCUCUCUCUCUCUCUGUCUCACUCUGCCCUUCUCUCUUUUCUUCCCUUCCUUCCCCUUUUUCCUAAGAAUAGCGGACACCUUGAGGGCAAGGGGCUUUUGUAUUUCUUAAUUUAACCAAUCAAAGCAUGAUUUUUCAAAAUUAUAGAUACUUGUAACUGCAUCCAAUCUAGGAUGUUAGUUUUUUAAAUUUGUGUAGAUAAAACAUGUCUGUUUUUUUUUCCUCCAGCGUACUUUCAAACCCUAUUAAAGCAAAGGCAGUCACCUGUUACUUCGACACCUGUUUCCUUUUUAGUACCUAACAGUAUCUCACUUGUCAGAUUGUUGAAAUGUAUAAAGAAAACAACAUAAAUCCUGUCUCAUGGUCCUGCAUACUGAUGAAACUACUGACUCAGCUGGUUUGAACAAUCCCCACAGAUGCCAGCUGAUCUGAAGGACCACACAGGAGCUGACUUACCAAAGAGUACAGUCUCUAUAUCCUGAUGAUUUCAUCCCCUAUUCCCCUCUCAAUCAAUCACCCCAAUUUCCCAGCCCCCUUCCAUCCACAAUCCCUUUAAAAAGUCCUGUGGGAGAUGGAUUUGAGGGACUUCUCCCACCUCCUCCCUUGGCACCCUGUGAUAACUAAACUCUUCCUCUGCUGCAAACCCUGCCAUCUCAUUGUAAUGGGGCUGUUACUGUGCAGUGGGCAUUCGAACUUGUUGGUCCUAUAACACUGACUCACCUAGAGCAACUUCAGGUCCUGCAAGCUCCAUUCAUGGUAAGUGUCUUAUACAAGUGUACCAUUUUUAUCCUUUAUACUUUACUUUUCUAUGUAAAGAAAAGUAACUUUUCUUUUUACUUUACCAUACUUUUACUUUUCUAUGUUUAUAUAUGUUUAGAUACACAAACACCAUUGUGUUACAAUUGCCAAUUUAUACAUGUUCGUAGAAAACUAUUUUCUUUAAAGAUUUUUACUUAUUUGUAUGCAAGUUAUUUGAAG
This 1478-nucleotide long non-coding RNA is filed under the name Homo sapiens (human). Its description in RNAcentral is "HSALNT0192399". Lineage: Eukaryota; Metazoa; Chordata; Mammalia; Primates; Hominidae. The record is from RNAcentral.